GAACGCAUAUUGCGCCCGCCAGCACUCUGGCGGGCAUGCCUGUUCGAGCGUCAUUUCAACCCUCAGGCCUCGUGUCUGGCGUUGGGGCGCUGCGGCCCUCCCGCAGGCCCCCAAAUUUAGCGGCGGACCCGUCCGGCACUGAGCGCAGUAGUUACCUAACUUUAACGCUCCGGCGGCCGUGGCGCGGUUUUGCCUCUCGCCCCAUAGCGCCAAUAGCGCCACUCCCAAAACGUUGACCUCGGAUCAGGUAGGACUACCCGCUGAACUUAAG
RNAcentral lists this unclassified non-coding RNA (271 nucleotides) under uncultured Sordariomycetes. RNAcentral's name for it is "sequence contains 5.8S rRNA gene". The stretch from base 1 to 53 matches the Rfam family "5.8S ribosomal RNA", at positions 102 to 154 of the family's 154-position model. Lineage: Eukaryota; Fungi; Ascomycota; Sordariomycetes. The record is from RNAcentral.